Molecule: ribosomal RNA, 433 nt
Filed under: uncultured bacterium
Lineage: Bacteria
Description: partial 16S ribosomal RNA
Rfam family: Bacterial small subunit ribosomal RNA
Source: RNAcentral
AACGAACGCUGGCGGCAGGCCUAACACAUGCAAGUCGAGCGGACCCUUCGGGGUUAGCGGCGGACGGGUGAGUAACGCGUGGGAAUAUGCCCUUCUCUACGGAAUAGUCCUGGGAAACUGGGGGUAAUACCGGAUACGCCCUUCGGGGGAAAGAUUUAUCGGGGAAGGAUUAGCCCGCGUUGGAUUAGGUAGUUGGUGGGGUAAUGGCCUACCAAGCCGACGAUCCAUAGCUGGUUUGAGAGGAUGAUCAGCCACACUGGGACUGAGACACGGCCCAGACUCCUACGGGAGGCAGCAGUGGGGAAUCUUAGACAAUGGGGGCAACCCUGAUCUAGCCAUGCCGCGUGAGUGAUGAAGGCCUUAGGGUUGUAAAGCUCUUUCAGCUGGGAAGAUAAUGACGGUACCAGCAGAAGAAGCCCCGGCUAACUCCGUG